RNAcentral lists this transfer RNA (63 nucleotides) under Escherichia coli. RNAcentral's name for it is "tRNA-Ile". It matches the Rfam family "tRNA", at positions 6 to 65 of the family's 71-position model. Rfam says of the family: Transfer RNA (tRNA) molecules are approximately 80 nucleotides in length. Their secondary structure includes four short double-helical elements and three loops (D, anti-codon, and T loops). RNAcentral also lists the same sequence under 1 other name. Lineage: Bacteria; Pseudomonadati; Pseudomonadota; Gammaproteobacteria; Enterobacterales; Enterobacteriaceae. The record is from RNAcentral.
CGUAGCUCAGGUGGUUAGAGCGCACGCCUGAUAAGCGUGAGGUCGGUGGUUCGAGUCCACUCG